CCAAAGGCUCUUUUAAGAGCCGCCCACACAUACUGUAAGAGCUUA
Molecule: non-coding RNA, 45 nt
Filed under: Xyrichtys novacula (pearly razorfish)
Lineage: Eukaryota; Metazoa; Chordata; Actinopteri; Labriformes; Labridae
Rfam family: Histone 3' UTR stem-loop
About the family: The mRNAs of metazoan histone genes lack a poly-A tail.
Source: RNAcentral